CAUAUCUCCGUACGGGGAAGGAUGAGAAGCUUCAUUCAGGUUCGAUUCGAGCGCAGCGAAAGCGUUACCGCAGGCAACGACCCGAGGUGAAGCGCGCUGAGUCAUCACUUCCCCACCACCG
Molecule: small RNA, 121 nt
Filed under: Salmonella enterica subsp. enterica
Lineage: Bacteria; Pseudomonadati; Pseudomonadota; Gammaproteobacteria; Enterobacterales; Enterobacteriaceae
Description: RtT sRNA
Rfam family: RtT RNA
About the family: This family represents a bacterial cis-regulatory element known as RtT RNA.
Source: RNAcentral